Molecule: small nuclear RNA, 100 nt
Filed under: Moschus moschiferus (Siberian musk deer)
Lineage: Eukaryota; Metazoa; Chordata; Mammalia; Artiodactyla; Moschidae
Source: RNAcentral
GGAAGCCCAGAAGUACAUAUACUAAAAUUGGAAUGAUAAAGAGAAGAUUAGCAUCCUGAGCAAGGAUGACAUGCAAAUUCAUGAAGUGUUCCAUAUUUUU